RNAcentral lists this ribosomal RNA (926 nucleotides) under uncultured Bacillota bacterium. RNAcentral's name for it is "bacterial SSU rRNA". It matches the Rfam family "Bacterial small subunit ribosomal RNA", at positions 13 to 916 of the family's 1533-position model. The record is from RNAcentral. Lineage: Bacteria; Bacillati; Bacillota.
UUGAUCCUGGCUCAGGACGAACGCUGGCGGCGUGCUUAACACAUGCAAGUCGAACGGAGAAUUUAUUUCGGUAAAUUCUUAGUGGCGAACGGGUGAGUAACGCGUAGGCAACCUGCCCUCCAGUUGGGGACAACAUUCCGAAAGGAAUGCUAAUACCGAAUGUGAUCCCUUUUCCGCAUGGAGAAGGGAUGAAAGAUGGCCUCUAUUUAUAAGCUAUCGCUGGAAGAUGGGCCUGCGUCUGAUUAGCUAGUUGGUGGGGUAACGGCUCAUCAAGGCGAUGAUCAGUAGCCGGUCUGAGAGGAUGAACGGCCACAUUGGGACUGAGACACGGCCCAAACUCCUACGGGAGGCAGCAGUGGGGAAUCUUCCGCAAUGGACGAAAGUCUGACGGAGCAACGCCGCGUGAGUGAUGAAGGUCUUCGGAUUGCAAAACUCUGUUGUCAGGGACGAAUGUGCGAACGUUGAAUAAGCGUUUGUAUUGACGGUACCUGACGAGGAAGCCACGGCUAACUACGUGCCAGCAGCCGCGGUAAUACGUAGGCGGCAAGCGUUGUCCGGAAUUAUUGGGCGUAAAGAGCAUGUAGGCGGGCUUUUAAGUCCGACGUGAAAAUGCGGGGCUUAGCCCCGUAUGGCGUUGGAUACUGGAAGUCUUGAGUGCAGGAGAGGAAAGGGGAAUUCCCAGUGUAGCGGUGAAAUGCGUAGAUAUUGGGAGGAACACCAGUGGCGAAGGCGCCUUUCUGGACUGUGUCUGACGUUGAGAUGCGAAAGCCAGGGUAGCAAACGGGAUUAGAUACCCCGGUAGUCCUGGCCGUAAACGAUGGGUACUAGGUGUAGGAGGUAUCGACCCCUUCUGUGCCGGAGUUAACGCAAUAAGUACCCCGCCUGGGGACUACGAUCGCAAGAUUGCAACUCAAAGGAAUUGACGG